Molecule: long non-coding RNA, 4889 nt
Organism: Zonotrichia leucophrys gambelii
Lineage: Eukaryota; Metazoa; Chordata; Aves; Passeriformes; Passerellidae
Exons: 4
Source: RefSeq, a predicted model, not a curated record
CACACUAAUGAAGCAUCAGUUUUCCUCUAUUGCACUGCUGUACCAUGGACUUCCCUUCUUUGCCCUGCACUGACAGCAAGUCUGAGGUCUGAGCUCCAGUGCUAAAGCCAGGAUUUGUGGAUUGAUGACAGCAUCCCACUGACAGGCUGAGGUACAGGAAGACUUGCUAAAAGCCAAGUGGAGAUCCCAUCAGGAGAGCUCCUGAGGCAGUCCUGCUCUCCUCUGCCUCUCCCCCAAGGAAUGCAGGUCCUGACCACACACACUCUCCAUACAGAACCUCUGCCUUGAACUUUGUGCCUCAGGCUUCAGCUUUGUGAGCCCUUAGCCCUUCUGCAGCUGCCUCAGGCCACACACAGUCAUGAGACUCUGCAGGAGGUGACAAGGCUGGCACUGGCUCUGGGAAUCCCUCUCCUGUAUGGAGUUAAACAGGUGAUGUGCUGAGGUCUGGCACUGCCAGACUUAGACCCACCACAAACUCAAGACAACAUUGUGGACCAUUGGUGUCUCCCUGCUCUGAGCUAUCUCAGCUGGAAAGGCUUUUGGAAAUGAAAACAAGUGGAAAUGUAGCCUCUGGACUUGUUACUACUGUUACUAAAAAGCCUCAGGCAUCCAGGCUCUGGCCUGGUUGGCCAGUUGCUCUGCGCUGCUGAGGAUGCUCUGCUCCUUUCACUAGAAAGCAAAAGCAGUUUUGUGCCCAAGAGCUGAUAGACUUUCCUCUUGUUUGUUGUUGGUCUCCUCCACUGCCUUCCCCUGCCAGGGGGGAGCAAAGGGUGGUGCAGCCUGUGGGUUUAACUGGACACCAUCCCUUUAAUGUGGAGUUGUGUUUUUCUCUCAAGGCCAAAAAUAAAUGCUGCUGAAGGACUAAACAGACAUGAAAAGAAGGCUUGGACACUUGGAAGACAAGACUGCUUUGUGUUUCCCAAAGCAAAGAGCCUGUUCACAAGGAGGUUACUUUUUUAGACAAACCCUAGUCCUGUGACACUGCCAAGGUCAGUAGGUGCCCAGCAGAGCACUGUGAAUUUGAGGCAGACAUGCUCUGGGAGAGGGGCACAGCUUUUCUCCCCCUCCAGAAUAUUUACAGUAUAUUAAUGGAGAGGAGAGAAAUUUGCUUUGCUCUGCCAUUUCACCUCUUCUCCGGGGAUGGAACAUGCAUCAGUUUGCCAAUGGAAGAGCUUCCAUCCAUCUUCCAUCUUUUUGGGACAGCAGCAUGGCCUCAGUGCUGUGGUAGUCUCUCAUGCUGUUUUGGGAAGCGAGGGAUGUGCUGCUGCCAUUCUGCAACUCAGAAAACAGGGAAAGCAAGGACAAGUCACAGGCAGGAUCCUGGAGAGAUUCUCAUGGCAGUGGGGAAGUCAGUGAGUGGGUGGGUGACCCACUGCUGAGUGACCAUCUCACUGAUGGUGGGUGACCAUCUCUGCUGAGAUUCAAGUCCCACUUUGAGUACACAAACCCUACAUGACAGUGAUUUUUAAAGGGGUUUGGAUGACCAGUACAUUUUUAUGAUGUGUUUUGAGUGUUGGUUUCCUCUUUUCUGGAAUAGGCCCUGUACAGCCAGUUAAACUGAGCCUCUGCUGCUUGUCCUGGCUGCAUGUCUGGAACAGGUCAGUUCAGGGUCUGGGUGAGCUUUGCUUUCUUCAAGAACCAGACCGAAUUCAAAGUGAAUAGCUUGGCACAGGCACCUCAUUUUCAGGUGAGCAAGGUCUGGCUGCUGCAGCAAACUCAGGGGGGUCAGGAGGCUUUGAACUUCACCUCAGGCACUUAACUAAUUCCUCAGGGAUUGCAGUAUGUUCUGAAGUGUGAUCUUUAUGUCUCAGUUGUCUAUGAAAUGAAAAUGCUGGUUCAUCCUGAGAAAGGUUACAGUGUCUCACACACACACAGGAAAGGCAAGUGAAGUUCUUUCACUGUCUCUAAAGCACUGAGCUCUUGAGUCAUCCAGAGCCUGUGAAGACUCUGGUUAAGAGUUUUUAAGGGUACCUCAUUAGGGCUGAAUCCAGCACUGUCUGUAGUCACACACAGUCACUCAGUAUUCAUCUCUCAAAGGACAAACGUUGAGAACAAAGGAGUGGAAUCAACUGCACCGAAGACCUGAGGAGUUGAAUGUGAUGGGAACUGGAUUCCAAAACUAGCUGGAACAUGCAAGAGGACAAACCCUGAAGGGAAACACUCCAAAACCAGCCCCAAACACAUGCAGGAGUGUGGUGAGAGCAGACAAGGGAUGGGCAGAAGGUCUGAGCAGCAAUGGGGUGCUGGGUUCAGGUGCAGCCAGGGACUGAAAUCAGUGUCUGUAGGGGAACCACUGCAGGGAAUGAGCACCUGCCUCUGCAGCCCAUCACCAAGGGCAUGUUCAGCCCAGCAGUUCUGGACCUGCUUUAGGAGCUCCUCUGUCACCUUUGCCAGGAGUGUGGUAUCAGAGAAGAGUGUUGGGGCAAAACUGGAGGAGCUAUUUGCUUCAGUCUUCCUGUUUUAAUUUGCUGAGUUCAGAAAAUAUAAGGGUAGAAUGAGAAAUGUCAAAAGUAAAGUUGUGAAUCAGAUUUUGAAAAGGAAAUGAAGCAGAUGGUAGAAGGUUUCAGUUAGAUAAAUACAGAAGGGGAGAAAAGGAAAAACAUGGUCAUUAUAUAGGGAGAGUGUGAUUGAGAUUAGACUAGUCUACAUAUGGUCCAAAAUCAAUUAAAACCACUUUACCUACAUUUUCAGUAGAGAUUAUCAUAUUGGACAAUGGGGCAAAGAUGGGAUUUCUAGUAGGAACAUACUUAAGGGAAUGAAAAUUAUCACAUGUAAGACGGAAGGAAAAGCUUAAAGAAUUCCAUGUGCUCAGAUCAAGGUGCCCUGGCAGAUUUCCACCUCAGGAUUUGGAAAGAACUGGCACAUUAAAGGAGCUCAGCGUAACCUCAUAUUUCUCUUUGAUGACUGAUUUUUUUUUUUCCAAGACAAAUGAAAUACAGGUGAUAUACUCUAUCCAGACAUGAGUCAAGAAUCUGAUAUUACACCACAUGGGAAAUUAGUAGUUGAAGUUGAGAAGAUGGGGAUUAGUGUGGAUGGCAAAUGCAGAACUGCUAAAGCCAAGGACAGGGAGCUCUGUGGGAAGCAGAAAUGCUGGACAGAGAGUGGAACUCCUCAAGGGUCACUCUUGAGCCAGUCCUACUUAUUUUGUUGGCACAGCUGUAGGAAUGUCAUAAAGAAAUGUGCUGAGGACACGGGCUUUGCUAAUCCAGAGAAGGAUCAGAACAUCAAUCAGCAAUAACUUAAUGACAGAAUUUGAGAUAGAAUAGACAAAGUAUAAAGACAGGCAGUUAAAAAUUAAUCACUAGAAUAUCACAUUACUCACUUGAAAAGGACAAAAGCAGGGUGGUUAAAAAAAAACACAUAGAGAGAAUUACUUGCUCUGAGGGAUAACUGUGAGCCACCAAUCUGAUAUGCAAAGGCAAACACAGUCCUAGAAGAUACAGGUUCACUCAUGUUCAAGGAAGAUUAGCAGGUACAGAGAAGGGCAUUAAGGAUGAUCAGAGGGUUUAGAACAAGAGGAGACUAGAAGAGCUUCAUUUGUUUAGUUUCUCAAAACAAAGACUAGAGCAGAUAGGAUUGUUUUUGGUAAAUACAUCUGAUAGGUAAAGAUCAGAGAAAAAAAGAGAAUUGUUUAAACUAAAUUACGAUGCUGGCACAAGAACAAAUGAUAUUAGGGCUGGAAAUUUAAGAUGAAGUGUUGGAAUAGGCUGCCAAAAAGCAUGAUAUGAUGUAAUUGAUUGUGAUAGUGGGAUACUGGCUCAGUAAUGCUGAGCCCUGUGUUCCUAGAAACGUGCAGCAGAUGGGAUUUUGGCAAAGUGGGCACUGGCCUCUUACAGGGAGGAGGAGUCCUGUGCUGCCUGUGUGAGCAGGAGAAAGCAUAACUGGCCAGCCACCAGCUUUGGAAAUGGGGGAAAAAAAGGAAGCUUUGAUUUCAACAGCUAAAGUGAGGUCCUUCCCUACUCCUCCCCUAUGGGAACUGGCAAACUCAGCUCUUUAAUGGUUCAAGCUCAUCUCAGCCUUGCCUAUAAAUAGAUAAAUGAGAUUCCUCCUGUCCCAGUGAGUAAUUCUGACAUCCUCCCGCUGCCUCGGAGAGCUGAGUCACAGCACUCUGCACUCCAGUCCCUGCAUUACUUACAUGGUCUCAAAGGAAAUUUUAACACAUCCAAUGAAUCAUCAGGGAUUGGAUCAUGUUUAAAGUUAUUCCAUUGGCAUUUCCCUUCCAUUGUAGCAAGUCUGCCAAUACCUAAAACUCUGGCUAAUCUGGACUUGAAACGCAUUGAGGAAAUAGCAUGUUGACAUAUACAGCUACUAAUAAAAAUAAUAAUAAAAAGUCUUUUUAAAUUUGCACCAAAAAAACAAGUCAGCCUUAGUGGAUUCCUCUAGUGCUUUUGGACCUGCUAAUUUUGUCAGACUUCUCUUUUUUCUGUAGCUGCUUAUUUAAAGGAACUCAAAACUUGAAAUAUUUAAUAUUCAGUCAUUAGGCCCCUAAUUUAAUCUCCUGUAGAUUUCCUGCCAAAAUAUUAUUUGCACUGAGAUGAAGCUUGUAGCCCCACGCACAUUCUCUCUCAGAGACACACAUUCCUGGUCUUACCCAUGAUAAAGAUAAAAUGCCUGCAAAGCAAAGACAAAGGCAGAGCAGUGUUAAGUACAGAACACAGGGCAGUGAUACAUCACUGCCUGAGCCUCAUGGGGCACUGCCACUUGUCACCUUGCCUUCUCCAGGUGGUACAGAGUGGUCUCAUUGGCUUAGAAGCAACACAGCAUUUGAAAUCAGAACAUCUCUCUCUCUCUCCCUCCCUCAGAAAACAUCUGGAAGAGUGGAAAAUUCUCCAGCAGAAUUUGGGGGCUGUGAAACAAAUACAGAAAUAUUUCUCUCUGUUGGUUUUCUG